Molecule: ribosomal RNA, 434 nt
Filed under: uncultured Lachnospiraceae bacterium
Lineage: Bacteria; Bacillati; Bacillota; Clostridia; Lachnospirales; Lachnospiraceae
Description: bacterial SSU rRNA
Rfam family: Bacterial small subunit ribosomal RNA
Source: RNAcentral
ACGGAAGGCAGCAGUGGGGAAUAUUGGACAAUGGGGGAAACCCUGAUCCAGCGACGCCGCGUGAGUGAAGAAGUAUUUCGGUAUGUAAAGCUCUUUAAGCAGGAAAGAAAAUGACGGUACCUGCAGAAUAAGCCCCGGCUAACUACGUGCCAGCAGCCGCGGUAAUACGUAGGGGGCAAGCGUUAUCCGGAUUUACUGGGUGUAAAGGGAGCGUAGACGGCAAUGCAAGUCUGAAGUGAAAGCCCGUGGCUUAACUGCGGGACUGCUUUGGAAACUGCAUGGCUAGAGUGUCGGAGAGGUGAGUGGAAUUCCCAGUGUAGCGGUGAAAUGCGUAGAUAUUGGGAGGAACACCAGUGGCGAAGGCGGCCUGCUGGGCUUUAACUGACGCUGAGGCACGAAAGUAUGGGGAGCAAACAGGAUUAGAUACCCUGGUA